Mycena capillaripes is the source of this 98-nucleotide non-coding RNA. The record is from the annotation of a GenBank genome assembly. NCBI's taxonomy places the organism in Eukaryota, Fungi, Basidiomycota, Agaricomycetes, Agaricales, Mycenaceae.
GCCACUGUAGACCACGGCGGUCGCUUUUCACCGAUGUGAAAAUAUUUGCGUAAAGUGAUGCAUGAAGGGACGCGGAGGUUCGACUCCUCCCAGUGGCA